AUAAUAUUUCACUACUGGGCGAGAGACUGGAUGAGAACAGGCGGUACGGAAGAUAAGAUUGUGAAUAGAUAGAAUUGUGAAUGUUUAGGUAACGAACAGAAAGAACAUGUCGUAGAAUUAAUUAACAGGAGAGUUUAACUUCAGCAGAACCAGUUUUUAGAGGUUGAAUCUAGAGAAAACAUUCAAGAUGUCUACUCCAACAACGCCUGAUCAGCAAACGCCAAAAAAACUUUCUCAGGAUGAAAUUAUAUCAGACACAAAGGAAGUUAUACAAGGAUUAGACCAGCUAAAAAAUGAACAUAAUAGUAUACUUAACGGUCUCUACCAGUCCUUACGGGCUGUUAAGAAAGACAAUGGAGAAACACAUUUAAUGAUGGAAGAAAAGACAUCAAUUAUUGAGAAAUCAUUAGAGCAAUUAGAACUUGGACUAGGAGAAGCAAAGGUAAUGAUGGCAUUAGGACAUCAUUUAAGUCAAGUUGAAGCAGAGAAACAAAAACUCCGAGCCCAAGUACGUCGACUAGUCCAGGAAAACUCAUGGCUGCGGGACGAACUGGCUUCCACUCAACAGAAACUCCAAGUUAGCGAGCAAUCCGCUGCAGAACUCGAUGAGAAACAUAAACAUUUAGAAUACAUGUAUUCUAUAAAGAAAUACGAUGAAGACCAAUAUCAAGAUCAGGAAGAAAGUUCAUCACCUGAGCAAGUUCAUUUAGAUCUUGGUUUUCCUGAAGAUGAGGAUGACAUUCAACAACCUGAAGAUACUUACCCACAACAGCAGCCAGCCGGUAGUGAUAGCAUCAAUGCAUCAGGAUACGAGAUCCCGGCUCGUCUACGUACGCUACACAAUCUAGUGAUACAGUACGCAUCACAGGGGCGGUACGAGGUGGCUGUACCUCUCUGUAAACAAGCUCUGGAGGAUCUAGAGAAGACAUCUGGUCACGAUCAUCCGGAUGUGGCUACUAUGCUGAAUAUAUUAGCCCUUGUUUAUAGGGAUCAGAAUAAAUACAAAGAGGCUGGCAACUUGUUACAUGAUGCUCUAGCAAUUAGGGAAAAAACUCUAGGCAAUGACCAUCCAGCGGUUGCUGCAACACUCAAUAACCUUGCGGUUCUGUACGGUAAACGAGGCAAGUACAGGGAAGCUGAGCCUCUCUGUAAGAGAGCCCUCGAAAUCAGAGAAAAGGUUCUUGGCAGGGACCAUCCUGAUGUCGCUAAGCAACUCAAUAACCUGGCUUUAUUGUGUCAGAACCAAGGGAAAUAUGAAGAGGUUGAAUGGUACUACCAACGGGCAUUGGAGAUAUACCAAAACAGGCUAGGCCCUGAUGACCCAAAUGUUGCAAAGACGAAGAACAACCUAGCGUCUGCCUAUCUGAAACAAGGCAAAUAUAAGGCAGCUGAAACCUUGUAUAAGCAAGUCCUAACCAGGGCUCACGAGAGAGAAUAUGGAGUAGAUGAUAAGCCUAUAUGGAUGCAGGCUGAAGAACGUGAAGAAAGGGGAAAACAUAAAGACAAUGCCCCCUAUGGAGAAUAUGGUGGCUGGCACAAGGCAGCUAAGGUAGACAGUCCAACUGUGACCACAACUCUGAAAAACCUGGGGGCGCUCUACCGUCGACAAGGUAAAUAUGAAGCAGCAGAGAUUUUGGAAGACUGUGCCGUAAGGUCAAGGAAAAACCACAUGUUACAAGUCCCUAUGGCUCUGGAUGUUGUGAGACAAACCAAAGUUGCCGAACUGCUUGGUACCGAAAUCUCUCAGGAUGUCCCGAAAGAAGUUGCCCAGAGAGAAUUAAAGCGAGAUCAUCGGAGCGGGAGCCGUACCAGCGUGGCGUCCAGUCGGCGCGAGAGCAUGGGUAGCACAGGUAGCGUUGCUUAUGAAAAGCAUGGUGAGAGUGGUCUAGAAGAAGUGAGUAUUGGCAUGAAAUGGAAGCAGAAUGGUGACGGUAAAUUGAAGCGUAGCGGUUCCUUUUCAAAGCUCAGAGCGUCAAUACGUAGAAGCAGUGCUCGGCUCGUCAACAAAUUGAAAGGCCGAGAAUUCGAAGACGAAGCAGGGUCUGAUAUAUUUGGGGAAAUCGUGGACAUGGUCAAGUCGGGGUGAGUGUGUUGUGUGAGGGCGCCUGUUAGACAAUGAAAAGAGCUAGUUCCAUGUCUGUGCUGAAUACAAAAAUGAAUGGUGAUGGUACACCUCCACCGCGCCAGCUUAGUCAAAGAGGACGCGUCGGCAGCCACGAUACUCUAACA
Molecule: unclassified non-coding RNA, 2229 nt
Filed under: Anneissia japonica
Lineage: Eukaryota; Metazoa; Echinodermata; Crinoidea; Comatulida; Comatulidae
Description: kinesin light chain-like, transcript variant X12
Source: RNAcentral